UGCAGCAAAACGCCAAACUUUUGCACGUGUUUGACUUCCGAAAUGGAAGUCGAUGGGACCAAAAGUGGUACCGACUGAGAGAAUCUCCUCUCCGCCGCACAUUAUACUAUGAUUAUGGAGAAGAGAAGAAAGACGCCCGAUUCAACACUGCAAACGAGCGAUUAAGCGAUGCGGCUGCUACCGUGAGUACACAAUGAUUGCGAUGAGUGUCUACUAGAGCCCAGCAACUCACCGAUUCGGAUUCGCGGAUUUGAUGGAUAAAGAAGAGUCAGCCGCUCCUGUCUUGUGCUCUACAGUGUGGUCCACUUGUCUUUGCACCCUGGGAGGGGCAGUGCUGUCACAAGGCAUUUCACCACUGAUGGGAAUAAAUUAGGAUGGUGGUGCAGAGUGAUGGCUAUCAACCCUGCAUGUCAACAGCUUCAUUCAGUCAAAAAUGAUGUUUAAUGGAGGACUUCACAGAGAGGGUCAGUGGCUUGUUUGCCACCACCCACAUGCCCUGCAUUUAGGGGUGAUGGUUAUGAGACACUUCUUGUUGUUUUUGCUAAUUUUAAGAGUUUAAUUUUUUGGUAGUUUUAAGAUAAAUCAAGUUCUCUCUUAGGACAUUGAUUCCCAAUCUAGCCCUCAGGAUGCAUCUGUUGUUUUGUUUUUUUUGGUUUAUAUUCUUGUACGCUUAAAAUGCUUUCAUGGCUGUAAAUUGUUAAUGCACUGUACUCUGGGUAUGCGUUACUUUACUUUUGCGUUACUUUUUAUAUCUGAGCAGGGCUUGCUUGUGUUUAAUAUAAAGUUCUAUUUUUGGCUAAUGUAAAAGCCUUUUCACACCAAAAGCCUCAGGCUUUGAGAAAAGUAAAUUCACGUCUGUACAGUAGACCGCAAAAAAAAAAGUCAACUCUUCAGCAAUACAAAAAAAAAAAGGAAAACAAAUGUUAGAUUAUCUUGAGUAAUUGUUGCUUAUUAGUAUGGUUGAAAAAGUGAUAAUAUUAUGUAACUCACGUUACUUGUAAUGCGUUAACCCCAACACUGCUAAAAUGUUUUGAAACGUUUUAAUAAUUGUAUGUUUAAACGUUUAAAUAUUUGUAUGUACUAUUCCAACUACACAAUACACAAUAAUAAUUACACAAUAACUGAAGUAGAAGCAAAAUUACAAAGUACUGUAAAAAUACAGUACAAUACUGUUUUGACUGUAUACAGUACAUUGUUCUACAUACUGUAACGAUACAUUACAGUACAUUGCUGUAAAACAACCUUGCUGCCAGUAACUUACUGUAAAAAUACAGGAAAAUUUUUAACAGUGUACCAGUCAAAAGGUUUUGAAUAGUUUUAAUGUUAAUAACCCUUAUGUGGUCUCAAUUUUGGGUUGUAC
Labeo rohita (rohu) is the source of this 1360-nucleotide long non-coding RNA. RefSeq lists it as uncharacterized. The transcript has 3 exons. NCBI's taxonomy places the organism in Eukaryota, Metazoa, Chordata, Actinopteri, Cypriniformes, Cyprinidae. The record is from RefSeq and is a predicted model, not a curated record.